UACGGAGGGUGCGAGCGUUAAUCGGAAUUACUGGGCGUAAAGCGCGCGUAGGUGGUUCAGCAAGUUGGAGGUGAAAUCCCCGGGCUCAACCUGGGAACUGCCUCCAAAACUACUGAGCUAGAGUACGGUAGAGGGUAGUGGAAUUUCCUGUGUAGCGGUGAAAUGCGUAGAUAUAGGAAGGAACACCAGUGGCGAAGGCGACUACCUGGACUGAUACUGACACUGAGGUGCGAAAGCGUGGGGAGCAAACAGG
Molecule: ribosomal RNA, 253 nt
Filed under: uncultured bacterium
Lineage: Bacteria
Description: partial 16S ribosomal RNA
Rfam family: Bacterial small subunit ribosomal RNA
Source: RNAcentral